CCUACGGGCGGCAGCAGUGAGGAAUAUUGGUCAAUGGACGAGAGUCUGAACCAGCCACGUAGCGUGAAGGAUGACUGCCCUCUGGGUUGUAAACUUCUUUUAUAUGGGAAUAAAGUGUUCCACGUGUGGGGUUUUGUAUGUACCAUAUGAAUAAGGAUCGGCUAACUCCGUGCCAGCAGCCGCGGUAAUACGGAGGAUCCGAGCGUUAACCGGAUGUAUUGGGUUUAAAGGGAGCGUAGGUGGAAUGUUAAGUCAGUGGUGAAAGUUUGCGGCUCAACCGUAGAAUUGCAGUUGAAACUGGCAGUCUUGAGUACAGUAGAGGUGAGCGGAAUUCGUGGUGUAGCGGUGAAAUGCUUAGAUAUCACGAAGAACUCCGAUUGCGAAGGCAGCUCACUGGACUGCAACUGACGCUGAGGCGCGAAAGUGUGGGUAUCAAACAGGAUUAGAUACCCGAGUAGUC
RNAcentral lists this ribosomal RNA (460 nucleotides) under uncultured bacterium. Its description in RNAcentral is "partial 16S ribosomal RNA". It matches the Rfam family "Bacterial small subunit ribosomal RNA", at positions 338 to 795 of the family's 1533-position model. The record is from RNAcentral.